Benincasa hispida (wax gourd) is the source of this 1106-nucleotide long non-coding RNA. RefSeq lists it as uncharacterized. The record is from RefSeq and is a predicted model, not a curated record. Lineage: Eukaryota; Viridiplantae; Streptophyta; Magnoliopsida; Cucurbitales; Cucurbitaceae.
AUGUGUCCUACUAACAAAAAAGCUUCCCUUCCCUCAUUUUCUCUCUCACAAACCCCCCCGAAACCCUCUCUUUGUAGCACCUCACUAGCCUCAGCCGACUUUCCCUCUUUCCACCGCCGACAGCCAUACAGCCAACUUUUGUUCCCGCUAGAUCGUAGCUGCACGCACGACGAUGUUCACCGCCGCUCUAGUUUGCGCCACCUGCAGUUGUUCAAGCCGUCAGACGCCAUUUGACAAAUGAUUGAGACUCAAUCGCUCGUUUCGUGCCGCUCGCCCUACGCGUCAGCCAACAGACUCUGUCAGUCCCGUCGUUUUGUGCCUCCAGUUGACUGAGCCAUCGUUGAAAUGGUGUUUAGCUCGUCCAACAGUCGUUGUUUGUUUGCCGAUACCUUGGAUUUGGGUUUAGAGCCUUUGGAGCCAUUGUCCAGUAGCAUUAAGGAUCAAUUUUUGACGUUUUUGGUAAAUAUUUAAUAUUAUAAGUAUUUUUCAAGGAUGAUUAUAUUGACUAUUGAAGCAUCGAUUUUAGCAAAUACUUCGGGUAAGUGUUUUGGAUGUAAUGGUAUGAAUUUAUGAUUUGGGCUAUAAUGCAGCAGCAUCUGUAAUGAUUUGUUUGUUUGAAUGUUUGAUGAUGAGAUUGAUUUUGAAGUGUUGAAAGGAGUUGAGUUGCUGUCCAAUAGGUUUGAGAUUGGUCUUGGCAAGGGUUUGGUAAGUUUGGAGAUUCCAAGGGAUUGGAGCUACUAUCCAGCAAAGUUAACUAUGUUUGAACGUUUUGAUAGUGAAAGGUAAUUGUUCCUCUUGAGGCUGGAUAUGGUCAAAAGAGAAUGAAUGAAAUCCUAGUUGUCUUGCUUAAACAUGGCUUGCCUGACCCUUAAUUCUCGAUCUUUAGACUUUAAAGUUCAAUGUAUAGAUUAAAUAAUGUACUUUGUUGAGAGGUUACUCAUUAAACAAUUUAUCACUUUUAUGUUUGUUGAAAGUUUAGUUUUGUAUACAAAAGCAAUAAUUGAGAUUUUAUUUUGUGCAUGUACAUGUGAAAGAGAAAUAUUGUUGUAAUUUGUGAGGAGUAUUCAUAUGAAAGGUCAUAGUUGACAUAUGGAAUUUUUAGUGAA